UACGGAGGAUGCGAGCGUUAUCCGGAUUUAUUGGGUUUAAAGGGUGCGUAGGUUGUUUUAUAAGUUAGCGGUGAAAUACCGAUGCUCAACAUCGGGGCUGCCGCUGAUACUGUAGGACUAGAGAUCGGAUGCAGCAGGCGGAAUGUGUAGUGUAGCGGUGAAAUGCAUAGAUAUCACACAGAACACCGAUUGCGAAGGCAGCAUGCCGGCUUCCUACUGACGCUGAAGCACGAAAGCGUGGGGAGCAAACAGG
Molecule: ribosomal RNA, 253 nt
Filed under: uncultured Rikenellaceae bacterium
Lineage: Bacteria; Pseudomonadati; Bacteroidota; Bacteroidia; Bacteroidales; Rikenellaceae
Description: partial 16S ribosomal RNA
Rfam family: Bacterial small subunit ribosomal RNA
Source: RNAcentral